GAUUGAGCCUUGGUAUGGAACCUACCAAGUGAGAACUUUCAAAUUCAGAGAAACCCUGGAAUUAAAAAUGGGCGAUCCUGAGCCAAAUCCUAUUUUAUUAAAACAAACAAGGGUUUCAUAAACCGAGAAUAAAAAAGGAUAGGUGCAGAGACUCAAUGGAAGCUGUUCUAACAAAUGGAGUUGGCUGCAUUGUGUUAGUAAAGGAAUCCUUACAUCGAAACUUCCGAAAGGAUGAAGGAUAAACCUAUAUGCAUACGUAUAGUACUGCAAUACUAUCUCCAAAUGAUUAAUGACGGCUCGAAUCUGUAUUUUUUUAUAUUUAUAUGAAAAACGAAAGAAUUGUUGUGAAUCGAUUAAAAAUUGAAAAAAGAAUCGAAUAUUCAUUGAUCAAAUCAUUCACUCCAUCAUAGUCUGAUAGAUCUUUUUAAGAAUUGAUUAAUCGGACGAGAAUAAAGAUAGAGUCCCAUUAUACAUGUCAAUAUCGACAACAAUGAAAUUUAUAGUAAGAGGAAAAUCCGUCGACUUUAGAAAUCGUGAGGGUUCAAGUCCCUCUAUCCCCAAAACUAAACGGUUUACUCCCUAA
This 583-nucleotide non-coding RNA is filed under the name Prunus cocomilia. RNAcentral's name for it is "transfer RNA-Leu". The stretch from base 1 to 485 matches the Rfam family "Group I catalytic intron". Rfam says of the family: Group I catalytic introns are large self-splicing ribozymes. They catalyse their own excision from mRNA, tRNA and rRNA precursors in a wide range of organisms. The record is from RNAcentral. Lineage: Eukaryota; Viridiplantae; Streptophyta; Magnoliopsida; Rosales; Rosaceae.